UCAGAGUAAAGUCACUGUGUAAGUGGCGGGAUUAGUGGCGCAGGUUAGUGUGGGGAGUAGAGUAGUGAGGACUAGAGAAACAGACGCUAUCGACCUGAGAGUUAAAGGAGGAGGCAUCGCGGUGUGGGGAGCAUUUAAGUUUUAUCGUGGAGGUCGACAACUCGUGGUCCUGAUAUAAACUUGUGUGUGACUUGCAAGAGGAGACGGACGUUGGAGAGAGAGAGAGAGACGGGUUUCCAACCGAUGGCCCGGCUGUGCUGUGUUUUUCUUCCUUGUGACUUCGCCACCGUGCCAUUGCCCGCUCGUGUGUUUGAUUUGUGACCGCUAACGCCAUUGCCAUUAUCAUCGUGAGACUCAUCCCCCUUCUCCUAUCUCUACUAACAACACCCUGGAUUCGCGGCUUCGCUGAGCAGUCUUUAUGCGGUUCUGCAGGGAGAAGCCUCUCUCCGCUGGCACACUGGAGACGGGGAUAACACAGGCUACCUUUGCCAGUUUGACCCACUCUGGGAAGAUUUCCGCGUAAUCUCUUAUGAGCAUCUCGCAGGCCGAUGAAAAAUACAAGCCCCCGUAACUGCGGAGGGCUGUCAUCAUUGGGAUGGCAUCUCGCUUCGCGCUUGCGGCAUCGAUGAAUGUGGUGGCUGUUGCCGAAUCGUCCUCGCUUGCAAUGUCUUGGCCAAAAUGACCCAGCAUGGUUUGGAUUGCUGGUUCUGCAUUCUCCCGAAGUGCUGAGGGAACGGAGGGACAAUCGGUCUGUGUUUUUUUAUUUUUAGCCAAUAAACUAAUUAUUCCUUGGUUAUUCCUCUGUGUCUCCAACGUUCAUGUAACACUGUACAAAUCAGUUUUGUUAGGCCUACAUUAGCCUACUGUCUCGCUUUUCCUUAUUGUCUGUCAGCAGCCUAUUAUGGCAACACGGACGUUUUUUACCACAAUUUUGACGGUUACAGCAUGGCCUAAAGCAGUGGUUCCCAACCUUUUUUCCUUGAGGACCCCCCUGCCAGGGUCCAAGACAAGCAAGGCCCCCCCAACCCUAACUCCGACCCACAUACACACAAAUAAAGAAUAGAGUG
Molecule: long non-coding RNA, 1067 nt
Organism: Gadus macrocephalus (Pacific cod)
Lineage: Eukaryota; Metazoa; Chordata; Actinopteri; Gadiformes; Gadidae
Exons: 3
Source: RefSeq, a predicted model, not a curated record